CUACGGGCGGCACCAGUGAGGAAUAUUGGUCAAUGGGCGAAAGCCUGAACCAGCCAAUCCGCGUGCAGGAUGACUGCCCUAUGGGUUGUAAACUGCUUUUAUACAGGAAGAACUCUCCAUACGUGUAUGGGGCUGACUGUACUGUAAGAAUAAGCAUCGGCUAACUCCGUGCCAGCAGCCGCUGUAAUACGGAGGAUGCAAGCGUUAUCCGGAUUUAUUAGGUCUAAAGGGUGCGUAGGCGGAUGAUUAAGUCAGUGGUGAAAUCCUACAGCUUAACUGUAGAACUGCCAUUGAUACUGGUUGUCUUGAGUUUAGUUGAGGUAGGCGGAAUGUGUAGUGUAGCGGUGAAAUGCUUAGAUAUUACACAGAACACCGAUUGCGAAGGCAGCUUACUAAGCUACAACUGACGCUGAGGCACGAAAGCGUGGGGAGCGAACAGGAUUAGAUACCCCAGUAGUC
RNAcentral lists this ribosomal RNA (459 nucleotides) under uncultured bacterium. Its description in RNAcentral is "partial 16S ribosomal RNA". It matches the Rfam family "Bacterial small subunit ribosomal RNA", at positions 339 to 795 of the family's 1533-position model. The record is from RNAcentral.